AUUGAACGCUGGCGGCAGGCUUAACACAUGCAAGUCGAGCGGAAACGUUGAUAGCUUGCUAUCAGGCGUCGAGCGGCGGACGGGUGAGUAAUACUUAGGAAUCUACCUAGUAGUGGGGGAUAGCACGGGGAAACUCGUAUUAAUACCGCAUACGACCUACGGGAGAAAGGGGGCAGUUUACUGCUCUCGCUAUUAGAUGAGCCUAAGUCGGAUUAGCUAGAUGGUGGGGUAAAGGCCUACCAUGGCGACGAUCUGUAGCUGGUCUGAGAGGAUGAUCAGCCACACCGGGACUGAGACACGGCCCGGACUCCUACGGGAGGCAGCAGUGGGGAAUAUUGGACAAUGGGGGAAACCCUGAUCCAGCCAUGCCGCGUGUGUGAAGAAGGCCUUUUGGUUGUAAAGCACUUUAAGCAGUGAAGAAGACUCCGUGGUUAAUACCCACGGACGAUGACAUUAGCUGCAGAAUAAGCACCGGCUAACUCUGUGCCAGCAGCCGCGGUAAUACAGAGGGUGCAAGCGUUAAUCGGAAUUACUGGGCGUAAAGGGAGCGUAGGUGGCUCUAUAAGUCAGAUGUGAAAUCCCCGGGCUCAACCUGGGAACUGCAUCUGAAACUGUAGAGCUAGAGUAUGUGAGAGGAAGGUAGAAUUCCAGGUGUAGCGGUGAAAUGCGUAGAGAUCUGGAGGAAUACCGAUGGCGAAGGCAGCCUUCUGGCAUAAUACUGACACUGAGGCUCGAAAGCGUGGGUAGCAAACAGGAUUAGAUACCCUGGUAGUCCACGCCGUAAACGAUGUCUACUAGUCGUUGGGUCCCUUGAGGACUUAGUGACGCAGCUAACGCAAUAAGUAGACCGCCUGGGGAGUACGGCCGCAAGGUUAAAACUCAAAUGAAUUGACGGGGGCCCGCACAAGCGGUGGAGCAUGUGGUUUAAUUCGAUGCAACGCGAAGAACCUUACCUGGUCUUGACAUAUCUAGAAUCCUGCAGAGAUGCGGGAGUGCCUUCGGGAAUUAGAAUACAGGUGCUGCAUGGCUGUCGUCAGCUCGUGUCGUGAGAUGUUGGGUUAAGUCCCGCAACGAGCGCAACCCUUGUCCUUAGUUACCAGCGGGUUAAGCCGGGAACUCUAAGGAUACUGCCAGUGACAAACUGGAGGAAGGCGGGGACGACGUCAAGUCAUCAUGGCCCUUACGACCAGGGCUACACACGUGCUACAAUGGUAGGUACAGAGGGCAGCUACACAGCGAUGUGAUGCGAAUCUCAAAAAGCCUAUCGUAGUCCAGAUUGGAGUCUGCAACUCGACUCCAUGAAGUAGGAAUCGCUAGUAAUCGCGGAUCAGAAUGCCGCGGUGAAUACGUUCCCGGGCCU
RNAcentral lists this ribosomal RNA (1360 nucleotides) under uncultured bacterium. Its description in RNAcentral is "bacterial SSU rRNA". It matches the Rfam family "Bacterial small subunit ribosomal RNA", at positions 28 to 1381 of the family's 1533-position model. The record is from RNAcentral.